This 420-nucleotide ribosomal RNA is filed under the name Fusobacteriota bacterium. RNAcentral describes it as "Fusobacteria bacterium partial 16S ribosomal RNA". It matches the Rfam family "Bacterial small subunit ribosomal RNA", at positions 355 to 776 of the family's 1533-position model. Lineage: Bacteria; Fusobacteriati; Fusobacteriota. The record is from RNAcentral.
UGGGGGAUAUUGCACAAUGGGCGAAAGCCUGAUGCAGCGACGCUGCGUGGGGGAUGAAGGCCUUCGGGUUGUAAACUUCUUUUGCUCUGAACAAGGCAUGCCUUUGGGGUGUGUUGAGUGUAGGGGUUGAUUAGCGCCGGCUAACUACGUGCCAGCAGCCGCGGUAAUAUGUAGGGCGCGAGCGUUGUCCGGAAUUAUUGGGCGUAAAGGGCUUGUAGGUGGCUGGUUGCGUCUGUCGUGAAAGCUCAUGGCUUAACUGUGGGUUUGCGGUGGGUACGGGCUGGCUUGAGUGCAGUAGGGGAGGCUGGAAUUCCUGGUGUAGCGGUGGAAUGCGAGGAUAUCAGGAGGAAUACCGGUGGCGAAGGCGGGUCUAUGGGCUGUUACUGACGCUGAGGAGCUAAAGCGUGAGGAGCGAACAGG